RNAcentral lists this ribosomal RNA (497 nucleotides) under uncultured bacterium. Its description in RNAcentral is "partial 16S ribosomal RNA". It matches the Rfam family "Bacterial small subunit ribosomal RNA", at positions 28 to 507 of the family's 1533-position model. The record is from RNAcentral.
GAUGAACGCUGGCGGCGUGCCUAAUACAUGCAAGUCGAGCGAACAGACGAGGAGCUUGCUCCUCUGACGUUAGCGGCGGACGGGUGAGUAACACGUGGAUAACCUACCUAUAAGACUGGGAUAACUUCGGGAAACCGGAGCUAAUACCGGAUAAUAUAUUGAACCGCAUGGUUCAAUAGUGAAAGACGGUUUUGCUGUCACUUAUAGAUGGAUCCGCGCCGCAUUAGCUAGUUGGUAAGGUAACGGCUUACCAAGGCGACGAUGCGUAGCCGACCUGAGAGGGUGGUCGGCCACACUGGAACGGAGACACGGUCCAGACUCCUACGGGAGGCAGCAGUAGGGAAUCUUCCGCAAUGGGCGAAAGCCUGACGGAGCAACGCCGCGUGAGAGAUGAAGGUCUUCGGAUCGUAAAACUCUGUUAUUAGGGAAGAACAAAUGUGUAAGUAACUAUGCACGUCUUGACGGUACCUAAUCAGAAAGCCACGGCUAACUACGUG